Molecule: long non-coding RNA, 587 nt
Organism: Arachis stenosperma
Lineage: Eukaryota; Viridiplantae; Streptophyta; Magnoliopsida; Fabales; Fabaceae
Exons: 3
Source: RefSeq, a predicted model, not a curated record
AUAGUCACACAAAUAAAACUAUUGAAGUGUUUCUUUGACCGUUAAACUUCAUCGGAAGAUUGGGUUUCAUAGAUUUGAGAAACAAGAACACAUUUCUUUGAGCAUUUCACCAACCCUCCCUCUCCGAUGCCGCCGCGCCUCUUCGCUCCGCUGCUACCUGUCGUUGCUUGUUGCCCCGUCACACUCGCGCCGCCGUCCCUCCGUCCCCUGUUUCAAAUUGAAAACACGUCGUAGCACCUCCUUCUCCGUAUGAAUCUCCGGCAAUUUGUCACAUGAACUAUUAGGAGUGCUACUUUAAUUUGCAACACAUGAUUUCACAGUUCAUUAGUCUUGCAACAUCGAAUAAAUUAAUAUCUUCAGCGUUUCAGUGAUGUCGAUUAUCGGAGCAGAUAUGCAGACUCUUGGUGAUUCUCGCUUGAUCCUCAUCUUCCUCUCUUCGAGUCUCAAUGGAAUGCUUUCUAUCAAAACCAAGAGUUAGUUUUGCUUCUAUUUCACUGAAUAUAUGCACACACGUCAAGCAAAAAUUGGAAAAGAGAUAGCUAUUUUCUCAUUUGUGACAUUAUCAGAGGUAAUAUGCAAGCCUUCUG